Molecule: transfer RNA, 63 nt
Filed under: bovine gut metagenome
Rfam family: tRNA
About the family: Transfer RNA (tRNA) molecules are approximately 80 nucleotides in length. Their secondary structure includes four short double-helical elements and three loops (D, anti-codon, and T loops).
Source: RNAcentral
GAUUAGUUCAGUGGUAGAACACCAGCUUCCCAAGCUGGUUAUACGGGUUCGAUUCCCGCAUCG